AGAGGGAACUGUCAUCUAUUCCUACUGUUAAAACCUCGCAUAAUUGUCUGAAUAACCAAAUAGUGACAUGUGGCGUGCCAUGUAUACCUCAUGUUAACAUAAAGAGACCAGUUUUUAAUGGUAGAAAUGGAUAAAUUUUUAACA
Molecule: microRNA precursor, 144 nt
Filed under: Gossypium arboreum
Lineage: Eukaryota; Viridiplantae; Streptophyta; Magnoliopsida; Malvales; Malvaceae
Description: MIR7502 microRNA precursor family
Rfam family: MIR7502 microRNA precursor family
Source: Rfam by way of RNAcentral